AGAGUUUGAUCCUGGCUCAGAACGAACGCUGGCGGCAGGCCUAAUACWUGCAAGUCGAACGCACCGCAAGGUGAGUGGCAGACGGGUGAGUAACGCGUGGGAAUCUUCCCAGUGGUACGGAAUAACUCCGGGAAACCGGUGCUAAUACCGUAUAAGCCCUUCGGGGGAAAGAUUUAUCGCCACUGGACGAGCCCGCGUCGGAUUAGCUAGUUGGUGAGGUAAUGGCUCACCAAGGCUACGAUCCGUAGCUGGUCUGAGAGGAUGAUCAGCCACACUGGGACUGAGACACGGCCCAGACUCCUACGGGAGGCAGCAGUAGGGAAUAUUGGACAAUGGGCGAAAGCCUGAUCCAGCCAUGCCGCGUGAGUGAAGAAGGCCUUAGGGUUGUAAAGCUCUUUUGGCGGGGAAGAUAAUGACGGUACCCGCAGAAUAAGCUCCGGCUAACUUCGUGCCAGCAGCCGCGGUAAUACGAAGGGGGCUAGCGUUGUUCGGAAUCACUGGGCGUAAAGCGCACGCAGGCGGAUUGAUAAGUCGGGGGUGAAAUCCCGGGGCUCAACCUCGGAAUUGCCUUCGAUACUGUCUGUCUUGAGUCCGGGAGAG
RNAcentral lists this ribosomal RNA (600 nucleotides) under uncultured soil bacterium. RNAcentral's name for it is "bacterial SSU rRNA". It matches the Rfam family "Bacterial small subunit ribosomal RNA", at positions 8 to 656 of the family's 1533-position model. The record is from RNAcentral.